AGGUGUUCCACAGCCAUCUGGGAAGUAUAAUUCCUCCAGUGUGUUCUGGGUUUCCCCCGGGGCCUCCUCCCAGUUGGACAUGCCUGUAAGACCUCCCUAAGGAGAUGACCAGGGGGCAUCCUCACCAAAUGCCUGAACCACCACAGCUGGCUCCUUUCAAUGUGAAGAAGCAGUGCCUCGACUCCAAGUCCCUCCCGGACAGUUGAGUUUUUCACCCUGUCAUCAA
Molecule: long non-coding RNA, 226 nt
Organism: Thalassophryne amazonica
Lineage: Eukaryota; Metazoa; Chordata; Actinopteri; Batrachoidiformes; Batrachoididae
Exons: 3
Source: RefSeq, a predicted model, not a curated record